Molecule: long non-coding RNA, 227 nt
Filed under: Setaria italica (foxtail millet)
Lineage: Eukaryota; Viridiplantae; Streptophyta; Magnoliopsida; Poales; Poaceae
Description: long non-coding RNA (SITA_LNC001988)
Source: RNAcentral
GGAAUCCUGUUCGAGUUAUUGGUAGCUCCGAUAGGAUUUCCUCCAGGUUGACGCACUCACAGCUGAUGGGAGCUACGCUUGUUUUUUGAAGGUUUGUUCUCAAUCCGGUUGCCUCAUCGAAGAGGCUCAGUAGUUGUGUGGUGUUUGCGAUGUCUACAGCUGUUGGUUUUAUGAAGAUCACUGCAUCAUCGGCAUACACUGAGAUACGUGCGCACGCGUCUCCCCCC